RNAcentral lists this ribosomal RNA (486 nucleotides) under Triticum aestivum (bread wheat). Its description in RNAcentral is "partial small subunit ribosomal RNA". Lineage: Eukaryota; Viridiplantae; Streptophyta; Magnoliopsida; Poales; Poaceae. The record is from RNAcentral.
UCCGAAAGUGGAGGAAUCUCAAAUCAAAACAAAUUACUGGGCAGUAUUAGUGAAAAUAGUGAAUGGAGCACCCACAGCCUUAGAAUUACUAGUCCUCACAGAUCGGAUCAUCCUCAUCGAAGAGCCCACAUCAAUAGUGAUGAGAUGCUGUCUGCAAGUAGCAGAGCUGAUGAUAAUGUCAGCACAGAUGCUAGGUCCCUUCAAAAUGGUAAGAACGGCUACAAACCUCGAGGAACAAUAUCAAUUUCUAGGAACCAAGUACAAGUUGAGUGGACCGAGCAGUAUGAACCAGGUGUUUACAUAACUCUUACGACAGUCUGUGACGGGACUCGGGAUCUGAAGAUAGUUUGCUUCAGCUGAAGGUGCUUUGGGAAGCAUCAGGCUGAAAAUUGGUGGAAUGAGAACCGCGAGAAAGUGUAUGAGAAGUACAACGUGAGGAGCCCCGGACGAGACUUGUCAGGAGCCUUGACCUGGUCGGCCUAUUAA